Long non-coding RNA from Engraulis encrasicolus (European anchovy), 1791 nucleotides. RefSeq lists it as uncharacterized. Lineage: Eukaryota; Metazoa; Chordata; Actinopteri; Clupeiformes; Engraulidae. The record is from RefSeq and is a predicted model, not a curated record. The transcript has 4 exons.
CAGGCUUCACUGCCUGGGAAAUCUGUGCUAGUUUACUAUUUCCAACCUGGUAGCUAGCUAGCCAGCCUGGUCAGAAUGGACAAAGGCAGCACAUCUCAGAAUCUUGUUACGACAAUACGAGGCAAAUGUGAAUGGAGUACAUCGUUAUGUGUAAGAUAAGACGUUAACAUGACAAGGGUGAGAUGAAAGAUACUAAGGGCUAGCCAGACUAGAAUAAAAGUUAACUAGGCCUACCACGAAAAGUUCAUUCAUAAACGUUUUGACGGUCUUUCGAAUGGUUAUCGGAUGGUGUGCUUGCUUGCUUAAAUAUCAUAAAGUUCGCCACAAAGUGAUCACGAAAUGAUCUCCGUAUUAAUAACAGUUUCGUGGUUUGUUACUCGUUUGAAUAAACGUAUAGUUUUGACAUCCCUUUCAAAUGACACGCGGAAGUUUUGAAUAUUUGUUGUACCACGAGCUAUCACGAAAUUAUGCUGGGCCAAAAGGUGUUUAUACAGUAGUUUCUUCCUGUGCUGCGUUGUGCACGUCUGUUUCAUCAUCUGAGCUAUCAGUUGUGUUUCUUUGAAGCAAAGAUGUAUAGAAUAGCACUGAAAGUCGGAGGUGUCAUAUUUGUUCAACCUGGUGUUAAACGUAAUUUCAAUUCUUGACCAGUGCAUGUAAAGAAAUUGAAAAUAAAACCGACUUGACUUGUCAUUGGGUCUGAUUUUAAAUGUGCCAUAUAGUUCAAUGUGGGAGCAGGUUCACACACUAAAUAAGACACUAAGGUCAAGCACAAGCAGAUUAAAAAAAAAUAAAAAAUUCUCAGAGCAGAUUAGAGCAGACGUUUCAGGUUGCUGCCAUCAGAGAGUAUUGACUUGACCUUAGUGUCUUUAGUGUGCUCCCACAUUGAGCUCUACUUUUUGGGUCCAUGCACCUACUUAUUUCUAAACAUCUAGAGCGCAACAAUACCCCUGCCUCCUGAUAUGCCAUAUAACCUGUAUCUCUCCAAGUGUGUGUGUGUGUGUGUGUGUGUGUGUGUGUGUGUGUGUGUGUGUGUGUGAGAGAGAAUGUGUGCACGCAGAUAUAAGAAGUUGGGGUUGAUGAUCCACAUGAUGGUGAUGGACCAGGACAGCUCUGGACCUCCUGACUGGCAGCUCCAUCCUCAACCUCUCUUCCUGCCCUUCACACGUGUGCAGGCAGCCAGUUUUCUGAAAGAUGGUUGAUGUCAGUACCAACAUGUUGUGAUGGAGGCUUCCACCUGAGCUGAACACAGAAACUUGCACACAGUGUUGGAAGCAGUCGUUCCUGCUCAGCAUCGAUAUGCCAGUAAUGGGUUUGAUGAGCCACAGCAUGGUGAUGGGCAAUCAGCAUCAGGACCAGGGCAGCUCACAAGGAGAACCUCCUGCCCUGCCUCGUCAUCCUCAACCUCCCAUCUCCCUGCUCUUCACACAUGUGCAGGCACGGAGCCAGUUUUCAGAGGGAGGGCUGAUGACACCAGCAACUUUGGUGAACCUGAUCAACCCAGCACCAACCACUGUGCCCCUCCUCCUCUGCCAACUGCACCACAUGGCUCCACCAUCUCAAAAAGGCACAGACACUACUCCUACUACUUCCUGCGAAGGAUGAGAGAAGAGCCGACCGCCCCACAUCGGCACUCACCACCUUCUACAGGGGUGUCAUUGAGAGCAUCCUGACCAGCAGCCUCUCUGUCUGGCAGCCGUCAAGCUGAAGACUAGAAGGCAGUACAGAGAGUGUGGUGAGAACGGCAGAAAAGCUCAUAAGAUCACCCCUACCAGCCAUUCAGGAUCUGUACAC